Molecule: small nuclear RNA, 107 nt
Organism: Chelydra serpentina (North American snapping turtle)
Lineage: Eukaryota; Metazoa; Chordata; Testudines; Chelydridae
Source: Ensembl
GUUUUUACAAACUUAGCACGUAUAUUACAAUUGGAAUGAUACCGAGAAGAUUAGCCUGGCCCCUGUGCAAGGAUAACAUGCAAAUUUGUGAAGUGUUUCUGAGUGCA